CAAGAUCAGAUCAGGAUCGUUUGUUUUUCUUGCGUGCGAUGCCUAUCGAUGAGGUCUAGCCGUCUAGGGCAGUUCUUGACGAGCGCCAACCCUAAAAAAAUGUUCUUGACCAGCGGCGUUUCAAUCUGAGCCUGAGCCGACGAUCCUUGCGCGCAAGAGGGCGUGUGUGUGCUGAUGAGGGCCGAGGGCCAUCCUUGCAUGAACGCGCGGCCGGCCGGCCGGCCGCGACCACAUUGAGAAGCGGCGAGCAAGGAAAAGGGGGUUAAGGUUAGUCUCGUUAGUUAUUCUAUAUCAGAUUAAUCCAUGCCUUCAGAACCUCACAAUUCGAACUGUGGUUACUAUAUAAGAAUGAAAGAUUAAUUAGGGAAUAUAUCCCUUUACCGGUUUACCCAUAGGACAAGGUUUUGCAUUGUUUAUCACAUCAUGUACGGAAAGAUUUAGGUUAAUUAACACAUGAGUUGAUUUUGCAUUUUCUUUAUGAUAAAUUUUGAGAAAAAAAUUGAAAUUGAUCACAGAAGACACAUGUUCUGAUGAAGAUUUAGGCUGUCUCCCUCACAAAAAAAAACGUAGACUGUCUCCGUGUGUUUCUUUACGAGUCUCUACAUUAGAGGCAAAAUUUUGCCCGCCCCCCCUAUGUUUGAAUCCUGGCUCCGUCCUUGCUGGCUCCCGACAUGCUCCAAAAAUCAAGGUUCCUUCGAAUCGACCCACCCCAUGUUGGCGCCUUGAGCUCGACGGAGUAGUUGGGAGUGCGCUGCUCAGAGGGGAUGCUGCAGUACUUGGCCGUCAUGUGUCCCACAACACCACAGCAUAAGCAAAAGUUAGGCAAUUUCUCAUAUUUGACCUUGAAACUGAUUUCCUCAGCGGAUCAUCCACCUUGUGAAUGACUCGGACACGGAGAUGCUCGUUGACGAUCUGCUUGUUUUGAUGCGACACCGCGACCACCUCCCCCAGCUGGACACCAAGGAUCCUGCCUGUGGCCUCGAUCUUGAUCGCCACCGGAAGGCCGUGGACUUGCACCCAGACCAUGAACGAGUCUAGGCGAACAUCAGCGGCGUUGCUCAUUCCGUCGAACUCCGCGAUCAACACGGCGUUGUUCCUGAAGUGCCACGGUCCAGCCCGAAGCACAUGCUUCAGGUCUCCCUCCACGGAGAAGGUGAUGACGAAGCUGAAAGGAUCGACAUAGUUGACUAGAGGGGGGGGUGUGAAUAGGCAACUAACAAUUUUUAGCUUUUCUUUACCAAAUUAAACUUUGCAUCAAAAUAGGUUGUCUAGAUAUGCAACUAAGUGAGCAACCUAUAUGAUGCAAUGACAACAAGCACGCAAGCAAAUAAGAGAUAUAACACGAGUAAACUUGCGAAAGUAGAGGAACGAGAUAACCAAGAGUGGAGCCGGUGAAGACGAGGAUGUGUUACCGAAGUUCCUUCCUUUUGAGGGGAAGUACGUCUCCGUUGGAGUGGUGUGGAGGCACAAUGCUCCCCAAGAAGCCACUAGGGCCACCGUAUUCUCCUCACGCCCUCACAUAAUGCGAGAUGCCGUGAUUCCACUAUUGGUGCCCUUGAAGGCGGCAACCGGACCUUUACAAACAAGGUUGGGGCAAUCUCCACAACUUAAUUGGAGGCUCCCAACGACACCACAAAGCUUCACCACAAUGGACUAUGGCUCCGCGGUGACCUCAACCGUCUAGGGUGCUCAAACACCCAAGAGUAACAAGAUCCGCUAGGGAUAAGUGGGGGGAAUCAAAUUUCUCUUGGUGGAAGUGUAGAUCGGGGCCUUCUCAACCAAUCCCGAGCAAAUCAACAAGUUUGAUUGGCUAGGGAGAGAGAUCGGGCGAAACUGGAGCUUGGAGCAACAAUGGAGCUUUUGGGGGAAGAGGUAGGUCAACUUUGGGGAAGAAGACCUCCUUAUAUAGUGGGGGGAACAAUCCAACCGUUACCCCCCACACCAAUCCCCCUCGCGGUACUGCCGCUGGGCCCAGAGCGGUACUACCGCGGUGGUCAGGGCGGUACUACCGCAUACGAGCGGUACUACGGCCCCCACUGCCGCGGCUAGUACCGUAAAACCCGACACGAAAAAAGACCCCGCGAAUCGAGGCGGUACUAGCACGAGACCGCAGCGGUACUACGGCUGGGGGCUACCAGCGGUACUACCGCUCCGGCCCGCGGUACUACCGCUGGGACCAGAGAGGGCACACUAAGAAGGGGAACGAGCCCAUCAUAGAAGCGGAAAGGCUCGGAGGGGGGCAAAGGAAGUGUACGUGAUGAUUCCGCCCUAGCCUUUCCAAAGCGGACCCCGUUUUGAUAGUACGGUGAUCCCUAUGAGACUAGUCCACCAAACUAAUUCGAAAGGACUACACCGUCUUCGCUUCAAGCUCCGACGGGAGGGAAUCGUCUCGUGCCAAAAGGAUGAAUCUCUGAAAACACUCAAUGCACACGAUUAGUUCGCAAAAGCAUUGUCAUCAAUCACCAAAAUAUCUUAGGGAUAAAUAUGCCCUUAUAAUCUCCCCCUUUUUGGUGGAUUGAUGACAAUACGGGAUUUGCACAAACGGGAAAGGACAAAGGACAUAAGCAAACCCCAAAUCUCUAAAAUAUAGACGGGCUCCACCUAGAUGUGUGCCAUCAAGAUAAGUGCUUUGGACUGCACAACACACAUACUAGGAUCAACACUCCCCCUGUAUUUUAGAGACCAACAACCUAAGCGAGAUACAAGAGAGCAGGAUAUAUAACAUAAUAAGCAUGCAACUCAUGAGAUACCAAAUGACUAGAGACAUAGAUAAAGAUAUGAUAAGGAUAAGGUAGCAUAUGUCUCACACCAUAUGACUGGAACUAAGGUCUCACUGAACACAAAACCAAACAAAGCACAAGGUAGCAAACACAACGAAAGCACAAAGACAAAGACACACUCGCAACACAACGACGCAAAUCCCUAAACUCUCCCCCCCUUUGGCAUCGAGACACCAAAAGGGGCAAAGAGCUAACCUACGGCUCCAGGUGAGAGCAUGCUGAGGAUCUCGAACAUCAGGACUCUACGUGAUCAUCUGCACUGCCAUCCUCGGCCGGAAACUGCUCGGCAUCUGAAUCGGUCCACGGACAGUGCUGCUGGAUCCACUCCUCCUCCUCAGUGAUCUGACCCUCAGAGCCGCUGGUGACUGUCGCACCCAACUGACGCAUAAGCUCCUUGUGACGUCCCUUUGCCUUCUUCUCAGCCACAUGAGUCAUGUACUGACCGUGAGACUCCAUGCAGAACAACUUCUUCAUCUUGUGUUUGAGCUUCUUUGCCCAAGAGGGCUCUGCCGCAGAAGGCUCUGUCCCAGAAGGCACAUAAUCCUCAUUGUCAUCAGCCUCGCCCUCGGUUUCCAUGGCAGCAGCAAAAGAUGGAACUCCAGAUCUAGGAACGGAUGUGCCCCAAUUAUCCUUCUUCCUCAGACGCUUGAUCUCAUGAGAAACCAACUCUCCAGUUUCCAGCUGCUCCUCGGGAUAGGUACGUCUCCAGGCCUUCUCAAUGAGCAACAUAAUGAACGGACCAUAAAUCGGGCACUUGCGUUCAGAAAUAGCAGCAAGAAGUUCAGACCACAUAACAUGAGAGAUGUCCAGGGACUCGCCAGUGUUUGCGUCCUUCUCACGCUGGCAGAAGAGAAGCGUGUCCACGAGAUAAGAGUGUACCAUGUCCAGAUUCCCGAUACGAGGGAAGAGAGUCUCGCGGAAGAUACGGUGAAGGAUGUCCAGAAAGGCAGACAACUCAUAGGUUUCCUUCCUGGUCUCAGGGUUGACCUUCCGAGUACAGUAGGGCCAGAGGGCUUGCUUGUGAGUGGAGGUAACAUUGCGGUGAGGACGAAAUCCGACUGGAGUCUCGAGCCCUUGAUCUUCCACCUCAAGCAACUCCAUGAAGGCCUUCCACUUGACAGCUAGCAACUUCCCAUUAGUCAUCCAAGUCAGAGUCCUGUCUUCAUCAGUUCCUAGGUGGACAGUGGCAAAGAACCGAGCCAGCAAAUCUGCAUCAAAGUCCUUGUUGAACUGCAUGAUCCCGAGAAUGUUCAACUGAGAGCACAUCUGAAGGGCAUCACCAAAGUACUCAGGGUCCUUCUCCAUAGCAUCCAUGUUGAUGGUAUGAACAUUGACAAAGAGGUUCUUCUUAGCCUUGAUCACGUCAAAGUAGGUGGCAUACUGAAACCGGUUCCAGAACGGGCGAUUGACAAGGUUGGAUUCUUGGUCUUCCUCAUAUGGGUUGCGGCGACGCCUGUCCCAGAAUUCCUUGCUAGUCAUCUCAGUCACCUUCUUGCCACUUGGCUUCGGCCUGUUGGCAGUCUUCUUCUUGAGAGGAGGAUUAGCACUUGAGGAAGCACCCACUGGCGGCGGUGGAGCACUGGAAGAACCACCUGCAGCCUCAGAUGAGCGGUACCGCUUUGACGUUGAACGCCCGGGGUUGACACGGCGGACUUGCUGCUCAGGAUGUUCAUCACCUGGAACCAAACACACGGACACACGAAACAACCAGAAGGAACGAUCAAAACCAAAUAAACACAACAAAUAUCGAUCAACAUGUGGUAGGAAACUAUGGAACUGGGCAUCCGGCGGUAGUACCGUGCCUGCACAGCGGCAGUACCGUGCCUCCACAGCGGCAGUACCGCUCCAGCGGUAGUACCGCGCCAGAUGGGCGGUAGUACCGCCCGAGACGGGGCACGGAGGAUCCCUACUGCCGUGGUCAGAUCCGGCACUACCGGGGAUGCCAAAUUCAAAAAUAAACCUACCAAACAUCAAUCCAAAGAGUCUAGUUGCCUUCUCCAACCUACUCAAGCCUAGAUUUGGCCAAAAAUCUAGAGAUGCAACCACUAUUGCCCCUAAAACGCGAGAUCUGAAAACUAGACAAGAAGAGAAGAGGAACGGGGGCAAUACUGGCAUCCAUGGCAAGAGGACGAGGUGGGGAUCGACUCCACCGAAGGAAAUGGAGAGGACGGUCCGGAGACGGAGGGCCGCCGGAGCCCUCCCGCGGCGAGAUGGCGCUGGAGAGAGAGGAAGAGGAACGAGGGGACGAAGCAAAUGGGUAUGGGGGGAGGAAACCACCCCUGCCCACGACUUAACCCCCUGGCCCCGCCCCUCAGCGGUAGUACCGUGGUGAUGGGCGGUAGUACCGCUCCAGCGGUAGUACCGCGCCUUCACAACGGUAGUACCGCCCAGCGCAACUCAAAACAAGACUCAACACCUAUGGCACAAAAAGAAAAGAAGGGAAACGACGGCAAGAAGAGAAAACCAACACAAAGCAACAAGAGCACCAGCAAGAGAACAAGAACCACACACCUCUACACGAGAGGGCGGUGGCCGAGGCCACCUAUGUUUGAGUCAAUUGGUAUGGCACCGCGAAGAAUUAUCCUUGGGCCAUGACCAAAACUCGUCUUUGAAGCACAAGUACCAUCAAAAAUGGCUAAUGUGAAAGAGUGAGAUUAGUUUAUGCAUUAUGGGGGGAGGAAGAGUUCAUUGAGAGAACAACACUCCCCCUAAGUCCAUGCCUACACCUAGACAAGAAUGCAUGAUGAAUGUGAGGGGUGUGCAAAGUUCAAACCACAUUGCUCGAAUCAAUGAUAUUUAGCUCAUGCCUUAACUCGCGAAAUCUUGCUUCAUCCAAUGGCUUCGUGAAAAUAUCUGCAAGGUUAUCAUGAGUGUUGACAUAGUUGAGCUCGAUCUCCCCUCGCCUAAUAUGAUCCCGGAUGAAGUGAUACCGAAUCUCAAUAUGCUUCGUCUUGAAGUGUUGCACCGGGUUGAGAGAAAUCUUGAUGGCACUUUCAUUGUCACACCAAAGAGGCACUUUGUCACAAAUGACACCGUAAUCCUUUAAAGUUUGCCUCAUCCAUAAGAGUCGUGCACAACAACUCCCGGCCGCCACAUACUCCGCUUCGGUGGACGAGAGAGACACACAACUUUGCUUUUUAGAGGACCAACUUACCAAAGAGCAACCAAGAAAUUGGCACCCUCCGGAAGUGGACUUCCUAUCCACUUUGUCUCCCGCCCAAUCAGAGUCCGAAUAACCUACAAGCUUGAAGUUUGCUCCUCUUGGGUACCAUAAGCCAAAGUUUGGGGUAUGAGCCAAAUAUCGAAAGAUUCGCUUGACCGCCACAAAGUGGCUUUCCUUAGGUGCGGCUUGAAACCGUGCACAAAUUCCCACACUCAACAUGAUAUCCAGUCUAGAUGCACAAAGGUAAAGCAAGGAUCCAAUCAUGGAGCGAUAUACCUUUUGAUCCACCGCUUUACCAUUGGGAUCAAUGUCAAGUUGGCACUUGAUGGGCAUUGGAGUGGAAGCCGGCUUGACAUCACUUAGCUUGAAUCUCUUUAGCAUGUCUUGAGUGUAUUUGGCUUGGUUGAUGAAGGUUCCUUCUCUUCUUUGUUUGAUUUCAAAUCCGAGAAAGAACUUCAACUCUCCCAUCAUAGACAUCUUGAACUUUGAGGUCAUGAGAGCGGCAAAUUCUUCAUUGAAGGCUUUGUUAGGGGAACCAAAAAUAAUAUCAUCAACAUAUAGUUGGCACACAAACAACUCCCCUUUGACCUUCUUAGUAAAAAGAGUGGGGUCGAUUUUCCCGAUUUCGAAUCCACGAUCUUGUAACAACUCCGUAAGAUGUUCAUACCACGCACAUGGGGCUUGUUUAAGGCCAUAGAGCGCCUUGUGGAGUUGAUACACAUGAUCGGGGAAAUAGGGAUCUUCGAACCCGGGGGGUUGUUUGACAUAGACCAACUCAUUUAUGGGACCAUUAAGAAAAGCACUCUUCACAUCCAUUUGUUGCAACGUGAAAUUAUGAUGAGAAGCAUAAGAAAUCAACAAACGAAUAGAUUCAAGGCGAGCGACGGGGGCAAAGGUUUCACCGUAGUCGAUACCCUCGAUUUGGGAGUAGCCUUGUGCCACCAAACGAGCCUUGUUGCGAACAAUGAUUCCAUGAGCGUCUUGCUUGUUCUUGAAUAUCCACUUGGUUCCAAUGACAUUAUGAUUCCCGGUUGGCCUUGGCACUAAUUUCCACACUUGGUUAUGUUCGAAGUUGUUGAGUUCUUCAUGCAUGGCAUUGAGCCAAUCCGGGUCCUUGAGCGCUUCAUAAACCUUUUGGGGUUCGACACAAGAAACAAACGCAUGAUGUUCACAAUAGUUUGCUAAUUGUCUACGAGUGCUUACCCCCUUUCUUAGGCUUCCAACCACAUUCUCCAUGAGAUGACCUUUGGUGGUGAGCUUGGAAGCGAUCUUAGCGGCACGACGCUCCAAUUCCUCCUCGGAAGUGAAGUGAGGAGGGGUUACUUGAUAAUCUUGAGUGUCGUCUUGAGCUUGUUCUUGAUCUUGAACUUGCUCGAGGGGAGGAACUUGACCUUGGGCAUCAUUUGGUGGAUCACCACCAUCUUGAGGUUGAUCUUACCCUUGAUCUUGUUCAUGAGGUUGAGGGCCUUCACUUUGUUCUUCGGAAGAGUGUGGGUCUUGGGUUGGUGAUGGCUCCACUUGAGUGGAGCAUUGUCCUUCUCCUUCGGCCACAAGGGGUUCCUCAAUGGGUAGGAUAUAUCCAACACCCAUUCUUCUUAUGGCUUGGGGAGGAAUUUCAUCACCUACAUCACAAGUACCACUUUGCUCCACUUGGGAACCGUUAUUCUCAUCAAACUCCACGUUACACGUCUCCUCAAUAAGUCCCGUGGACUUAUUGAGAACAUGGUAAGCAUGGGAGUUUGUAGCAUAACCAACAAAUAUGCCCUCAUGAGCUCUAGUCUCAAAUUUAGACAAACGAACACCUUUCUUGAGAAUGAAACACUUACACCCGAACACCCGAAAGUACUUGAGGUUGGGCUUGUUACCGGUGAGUAUCUCAUAUGGAGUCUUGUUCAACCCUUUGCGGAGAUAGAGCCGAUUUGAAGCAUGACACGCGGUGUUGAUGGCUUCGGCCCAAAAGUUGUAUGGAGAUUUGAACUCCGCCAUCAUGGUCCUUGCCGCAUCCAUCAACGUCCGGUUCUUCCUCUCCGCAACACCAUUUUGUUGAGGGGUGUAAGGUGCGGAAUAUUGAUGCUUGAUCCCCUCAUCACUAAUAAACUCAUCCAAGGUGUAGUUCUUGAACUCGGUGCCGUUGUCACUUCUUAUAGUCAAGAUCUUUGCAUUGUGUUGACGUUGGGCUUCAUUUGCAAAGUCAAUGACUGUUUGUUGGGUCUCACUCUUCCUCUUGAAAAAAUACACCCAAGUGUAUCUAGAAUAGUCAUCCACAAUUACCAAGCAAUACUUUCUACCCCCAAGACUAUCAAAGGAUGGAGGCCCAAAGAGAUCCAAAUGAAGGAGCUCCAAAGGCCUCUUCGAGUAAAUGAGAGUCGUGGGAGGGUGAGCCUUCUCAUGAAGCUUUCCUUUGAUACAAGCACUGCAAGCACGAUCUUUAGCAAAACUAACGUUCGUUAGUCCACGGACAUGGUCCCCCUUGAGAAGACUUUGCAAAGAUCUCAUAUUGACAUGGGCUAAACGGCGAUGCCAAAGCCAUCCCACGUCAACUUUAGCCAUUAGGCAUGUCGCGGUCUUAGUGGGUCGCUCCGAAAAGUUAAUCACAUAGAGACCGUUCUCGACAUGCCCAACAAAGGCUACUUUAAGAAUCUUGCUCCACAAGAGGGCCACGGUAUCAAUAUCAAAGAAAGUGGCAAAGCCCAUGGUAGCAAGUUGACGAACGGAAAGUAAAUUGUAUGCAAGGGACUCAACUAGCAUGACCUUCUCGAUCGUGAGAUCAUGAGAAAUGACAACUUUGCCGAGUCCCAAUACCUUAGAAGACGAGGCAUCACCCCACUCGACAUUGGUGGGCAUAGAUGGAAUCUUGUGCACGUCCACCACCAAGUCCUUGCUUCCGGUCGUAUGAUUUUUAGCUCCACUAUCGAGCAACCAUGAUCCCCCACCGGAAGCAAACACCUACAAGAGAUCAAUGCUUGGUUUUAGGUACCCAUUUUGUAAUGGGUCCUUUGAUGUUAGUAACAAGGGUCUUAGGAACCCAAAUGGACCAUUCAAUAUACUCAUGAGGAGAACCAACAAAUUUGGCAUAAACAUGCCCAUCACUUGCACGACAUAACACAUAAGAAGGAUUAAAAUCGCCGGCUUUGUUGGAUGGGGUGGAAUUACCCUUCUUGACACCGUCACCCUUCGCAUUGUUCUUCUUCUCCUUGGAAGUACCCUCUCCCUCCUUCACAAAAGUUUGCUUGAGAGGGGGAGGUCGUUUGGUCUUGUCAUUCUUCUUCUUGUUCUUGGGCUUGGGUGCAAACCCAAUCCCCUCCUUGGCCAGAACUUCCUUUUGGUUUCUCAAAAGGUCGUUGAGGUUCUUCUCACCUUGUAUGCAUGACACAAGGCCUUUCUCAAGUUGCUCCUUCAACUUAGCAUUCUCCUCAACAAGAUGCACAUGCUCACAACAAGAGUUAGUAGCAUUUGCAUUAUCAAUUAACACCAUAUGAGGAAAGGUGGCUUUCUCCUUAGUUAGCUUUACUUGGAGUUGAUCAUGAGACUCCUUGAGGCUAGCAUGAGCACCCUUCAAGACUUUGUGAGCCUUGUCGAGAAUGUCAAACUCCUCUUUAAGUCUAGCAAGAUCAACCCCAAACUUUGCCUUCUCGGAGUUUAGCACACGAGACACAACAAGAGCAUGAUCAAGAUCUUUCUUUAACUUAGCAUGAUCAUCGUUGUAUGACUCCUCAAGAGCCAAACGAAGACCACGCUCUUCGUCAAGAGCAUUGGAAAGAUCCGAAAUCUCAUCGGCAUAGUCACGACUAUGCCCCUCCAUCUUAGAGAUGGUAUCUUCGUGAGCCUCGAUCAUGUCAUUGGCUUCACCAACUUGUUCCAAGAGAGCAACGAAGUGCUUCUUGGAUUUACCCUUGAGUUUACCCAUAAAGAUCUCAAACUCAUUUUCCUCCACAUUUGUCCCCUCAUGUUCAUCAAUGCUAUCCGUCGAAGAAGGAUGAUUAAUGAUGGUAGUUUUGAUGUUGGAGGUUACCUUAUUGGUGGCUUUAGCCAUGAGGCACUUGGCGGUGAUGUUCUCAUUGGGUGAGUCGAAGAGAGACACCCGUGGAGUCUUCGCAAUGGCAACGGAGGCCAUGGCAACCGACUCACCAUCUUCAUCAUCGUCAUCAUCCUCAUUGUACUCUUCUUGUACCACCAACGCCUUGGGAGGAGUCUUCUUGGUGAAGUUGCUCUUGUUUGGGAACGACUUGGCCUUGUCUUUUCUAAUGAGCUUGCCACCAUUGUCUUCCCUCUUCUCGUAAGGGCACUCCGCAACAAAGUGGCUCACAUUGCCACAAUUGAAGCAAGUCCUCGCCCGUUGCUUGCCCUUUGCGCCACUUGAAUUGCUCUUGUUGAAGUUUGGCCUUGUGUUCUUCUUGCUCCAAAAUUGCCUUGAAGCAAGAGCCAUGUGUUCAUGAUAGGCAUACUUCGUAUCUUCGAGGUUGCCCUCCUCUUCUUCCUCUUCAUCCUCUUCCUCCAUACUAACCUUGGCCUUUAGAGCAUGGUUGGGCUUAUUUACUCUUUGAGAACGAAGAACCGCAUUGUCGGCGGUCUUGUCCAAGAUGCUCAUAGCAACAAAUUCAUCCAACACUUCACUUGAUGACAAGGUGUGGAAGUCCGGCCUUUGACGAAUUACGGAGGACAUGGCUUUGUGGUAGGGCAUCAUUGCCUUGAGGAAUUUGCGCUUGAUCCAAUUGUCAUCCGUGUCCUUACUUCCAUGAUCUCGGAGAGAGACCGCGAGUUUGGUUACUCUCCGAAAAAGCUCGCGAGGUUCUUCAUCUUCUUUCAUUGCAAACUCGUCGGCUUCAUCUUGCACCACUUUAUAGUUGGAGCAUUGAAUGCUUGCGCUUCCGCGAUAGAGGGAAACAACUUGGAGCCAAGCAUCUUUGGCCACAGUGUAAGGCCGGAGAUGAGGAAGAUCUUCGGGUGGGAUUGCUUCUUGGAUGAUGAAGAGAGCAUUCUCAUUGAAUUGAUGAUCCACAACUUCUCUAGGAGUGAAGUUACUUCGGUCAUGCGGAUAAAAACCCUCUUCAAUUAUUCUCCAAAGGUUAGUGUUCACAUGAUUUAAAUGACGCUUAAAACGAUAUUCCCAAGAAUCAAAAUCUACAUUCUUCUCAAUCUUAGGGGCCGGGCCGGCAUGAUUCAAAUGAGUGGAAGGGAGCGGUCCACCAUAGACAGGUGGAGGUUCCACAUGGGCAAAGAUGCCGGUCCCAUUUUUAUCACUAGAAAAAGGAGCUUUCUCGCUAGAAGCUUCCCCCUUCUCGGAGGUAGCAUCCGUCACCUUGUUAGCGGGAUCACCCACUUUCAACGGUGCGGUGGUAACUUUAAGCCCUUCUAAGAAUUUAUUCAACAUGCUUUUGACCUUGGUCGUCAUGGAGGUUUUCAAUGUGUCUAACGCCACAUUGAAUUCCUCACGAGAGACCGCGGUUCCCCCAUCUCCCGUAGACGAGACUAGAUUCUCACCGGAGUGCUCCUCCACACCGUCUACGACGUCAACCAAACUCUUUGGACGGUAAAGUCCUUCAUAAAGAGACGAGGCUCUGAUACCAAUUGAAAGGAUCGAUAUAGUUGACUAGAGGGGGGGUGAAUAGGCAACUAACAAUUUUUAGCUUUUCUUUACCAAAUUAAACUUUGCAUCAAAAUAGGUUGUCUAGAUAUGCAACUAAGUGAGCAACCUAUAUGAUGCAAUGACAACAAGCACGCAAGCAAAUAAGAGAUAUAACACGAGUAAACUUGCGAAAGUAGAGGAACGAGAUAACCAAGAGUGGAGCCGGUGAAGACGAGGAUGUGUUACCGAAGUUCCUUCCUUUUGAGGGGAAGUACGUCUCCGUUGGAGUGGUGUGGAGGCACAAUGCUCCCCAAGAAGCCACUAGGGCCACCGUAUUCUCCUCACGCCCUCACAUAAUGCGAGAUGCCGUGAUUCCACUAUUGGUGCCCUUGAAGGCGGCAACCGGACCUUUACAAACAAGGUUGGGGCAAUCUCCACAACUUAAUUGGAGGCUCCCAACGACACCACAAAGCUUCACCACAAUGGACUAUGGCUCCGCGGUGACCUCAACCGUCUAGGGUGCUCAAACACCCAAGAGUAACAAGAUCCGCUAGGGAUAAGUGGGGGGAAUCAAAUUUCUCUUGGUGGAAGUGUAGAUCGGGGCCUUCUCAACCAAUCCCGAGCAAAUCAACAAGUUUGAUUGGCUAGGGAGAGAGAUCGGGCGAAACUGGAGCUUGGAGCAACAAUGGAGCUUUUGGGGGAAGAGGUAGGUCAACUUUGGGGAAGAAGACCUCCUUAUAUAGUGGGGGGAACAAUCCAACCGUUACCCCCCACACCAAUCCCCCUCGCGGUACUGCCGCUGGGCCCAGAGCGGCACUACCGCGGUGGUCAGGGCGGUACUACCGCAUACGAGCGGUACUACGGCCCCCACUGCCGCGGCCAGUACCGUAAAACCCGACACGAAAAAAGAGCCCUCGAUUCGAGGCGGUACUAGCACGAGACCACCGCGGUACUACGGCUUGGGGCUACCAGCGGUACUACCGCUCCCAGAGCGGUACUACCGCUUGUAGCACCCAAGCGGUACUACCGCUCCGUCCCGCGGUACCACCGCUGGGACCAGAGAGAGCACACAGCUGGGGGCUACCAGCGGUACUAGUGCUCUGGAGCGGUACUACCGCUCCAGAGCGGUACUACCGCUUGUAGCACCCAAGCGGUACUACCGCUGCGGCCCGCGGUACUACCGCUGGGACCAGAGAGAGCACACUGAGAAGAGAAACGAGCCCAUCAUCGAAACGGAAAGGCUCGGAGGGAGGGGCAAAGGAAGUGUACGUGAUGAUUCCACCCUAGCCUUUCCAAAACGGACCCCCUCUUGAUAGUACGGUGAUCCCUAUGAAACUAGUCCACCAAACUAAUUCGAAAGGACUACACCGUCUUCGCUUCAAGCUCCGAGGGGAGGGAAUCGUCUCGUGCCAAAAGGAUGAAUCUCUGAAAAACACUCAAUGCACAUGAUUAGUCCAUAAAAGCAUUGUCAUCAAUCACCAAAACAUCUUAGGGAUAAAUAUGCCCUUACAAUGUAAGUGUUGGUUCCAACAUUACAUUCUAAUCCUUACAUCCCUGGAGCAACACACACACACACACACACACACACACACAGAGACGCACACACAAACACACAAACACACACAAGAAGAGAGAGAGAGAGAGAGAGAGAUAAGGAUGGUCGGAGGGCCGGUGGACCGUCAAAGGGAGCUAAGGAUGGCAAUUUUACCCAUGGGUACGGGUACCCGCGUGUACCGUACCCGCAUGGGCAGGGUAUGGGCACACUUUUAUACCCAUGGGUAGUACCCAUACCCUACCCAUUAAGUCAUGGGUAGGGUACGGGUAUAACCUUGUAUCCGCGGGUAUACCCAUACCCUGCCCGUUUGUGAACUAAUGUUAAGUUGUCGUUAGUUAGUCAUUAAUUUGUCAAGUGACGCGUCUACUCCUAUUGAAUUAAGAGUAUGUUGUGGUUUCUAAAUUUUGAUAUAUGUCAUUUACUCAUCUGCCAGUUAUUGAGCUGAGAUAAUUGAUUUUUUUUAAAUGUGCUAUCAAUGAGCAUAAAAUUGUGAACAACUUGUGUACUAUUUGUUCUACCCGUUGGGUACCCAAUGGGUAUGGGUAUGGGUAAAGUUUCAUACCCAUGGGUACGGGUAUGGGUAGAAUUUUGUACCCACUGACUAUACGGGUAUGGGUAUGGUAUUGCUCUACCCUACCCAUUGCCAUCCUUAAAGGGAGCUGUUCGACCAGGGUGGUGCGCAGAGGGGGUAUAAUGUUAGAGUUAUAAAAGGUGCCCAUUCCAAUAAAGAGAGUUCACACAUACGAUGUGCAAGGUUUGCGCAAUGGAAAAUAAAAGUUCCCGUGUCAUUAUGAUGAUACAAGGAUACUAGGCCACCGUGUGGGGUAUAAGUUUCAUGUUUCAUUUACAAUGUUUGUUCAUAAUUGUUGUGUCCUCUUAUGCCAACUCUGCAAAUGUUGGUGCCAACAUUACAUUCUAAUCUAUCUCUCCCAGAUCUGGCCGCCGGCUCCUUGGGGGCGCGGGGCUCCCUUCCGUUCAUGCUGGUGGCCCCGGGAUGGGCUCCCCUUCGGUGGCAGAUGUUGGCUCCAGCUGGGGCUCUUUCGUGCUUCAGGCUGGUCGGCAUGGGGAGGGAGCUCGUGGUGGUUUGCAGUGGCCGUCGGCGUGCUCGUGGCACAGCUGUCGGCGUCUGACGGCGGGGUGCGGGGUGAUGGAGGCUGCGUCCUUCUCCUUGGUUUGGAUCGACGAUGCGCGGGGCUGGGCGGGUGCCGGAGGUGUCGGCCGCACGCGUAACGAGGAAGGUUCAGAUCUAGGGUUCAUGCUCGGGCGGGCGGGAUCAGGGCCCGGGGCAGAUCGGAGCAUGUGCUUUGGGUAGGAGAGGUUGGGCUUGGCCCGGGAUGUGCUCGCGGGUCUCCUUGCAGGUAUGGUGCUCAAUGGUGAUGGCCGUGUUAGCAUUGUGUCACGGAUCGGUGCAAGUGACCACGGGCAUGGCGUCAUGUGAGCUCGCUUGCCCAAGGGCUGGGGCUGGCUCGCCGUCGGCCGUCGGCAGUCUUGGAGUCGUGUCCCACCCAGUCCACUAGGAUUGGCUAGGAAUGCAGGUGUUGGUGCCUCCUACGGUGGAGGCGCCGACCCAGACUCCUGAACUGAUGCCGGGCUAGGAGUAGAUGGUGUGUCAUCUCUCUUCCUACCGUGGUUGAGUGCGUUGUGAUGUGUGCGGCGCACGCUAUCUCGCGACAGGGAUGCCGGGGCGGUGGCCCCGGAUGGCGGUGCACAUGGUUGCUCUUCGGCGGGCAUCAUUGUGGUGGUGGUGGCUCCCCUCCUGCGUUGUGUGGGCAAUUGGAGGUGUUGCGAUGGGUAGCCCAGACGUGCCCUCUUUGUCGAAGGGCGGCGUCCUGAUCCGGAUCUGGGGAUCUGACGCCGUCGCGUUUCUCAUGGUGGCACCGGUGAGUUGCCGAGCGAAAGCUCCGUGCCUUGGCGCCGACGGCGGCGACACUCGUGGGUGUCGCGCUCUUCUUGAAGACGUCGUUGUGGUUCUUUUCUCCGUGUCAGGGCUCGAAAUGAAGAUCUUUGUCCGUAUGGACUCGGCAACGGGCUCUGCGCCUUUCUCCCUCUUGGGGGCGUUGUCGUGGAGGUUAGGUGUGCCAUGUCGUAGUGUGGGGUGUGUUUAGUUCUCUCGGUGCUCUUUGCACUGGUAGCAUAGUCGCAUGCGUUGGCCGUGAACUUCUUCGGAUAUUGCUUUAUCUAUAAAGCGGGACGAAAGACUAUUUCAAGAGACCAUCGACUAACAAGCUAGGGCCAUUGUACCUGCCAGUGAGGGCAAGGGUAAACGGUCGUAAAAUGGAUCUUUCAAAAAAAAUCGUACAGCAAGAGGAGGGGUAGCUGGCGGGGAGGAUGGGGAGGAGGGGCGAGGUUGACUGGUCGUGUGGAGAGAGAGCCUGCCAGUGUUCAAUGAAUCAUGGGCACGCAGCCACAAGCGCUGGCAUAACAGCAGGAUGCACAGUUGCAAAGUGUGCAAACCUGUCUCAAAGAAGAAAUGUGAAGCAUCAAUAAUAUGCUCCCACAGAGCUGAACCAUUCUAUUCUCAUACUUCGAGCGUGUUGACCAAGUCUGGGGCCAAGAGUCACGGGAGUAGUUGUGGUCACGGGAGUAACUCUAUAUAUGUGGUGGGUUGGGAGGCUGGUUUUCCAGUUCACUAAAAAUGACAAAAUAAUGGGUACACCCGGUUUUACAUUAUAUCUUCUGGCUGCAAAAUACUACUAAACAACGGUUAUUUUACAAUACGAGGCGUUUUACAUUAUUUGUUAUCUGCUAGAGUUACUCUAUGCCCAUAUAAACUAUGGUCCUUUAAAGUAGGCUGCAUGGUUUUUUAAUUGUUUGGAUUAUUUACCCAUGUGUGGCCUCGCUAGCACAGGACCACUAGAUUGACCAUAAAUUAGAAGACUGUCUGUGAAGACCAUAUAUUAGGCAUGAGUCAAGCUUGGAGCUGAAUUUGAGACCAACGCCGGUGCCCAUUCUAGAAACCUGCUAGUUGCAGAACGCCAUGAGUACUGUUGCAUGGAAAGUGGGAUCAUUGUUUGAGAUAUUUGACUAUUCAAUUGUUCAUGGAAAGAACUUUGCUCUGCCGAGGUGAAGGCCUAGAGACAGCAUCGAGCUAUGCUCACGGCGACGAGGAUGAAUGCAGGAGGAAGAAGAGUUUGGCAUCCCAAAAAUUUGAAUGUAAUUUUAUUUUUUUGGUAUGUGUGUGUUUGUAAGGACUUGUGAUGCUUAAAUACAAAAAUGCCUUAUGGCCUUACGCAAAUAAAAAGUAGCAUGCAAAUCAUACCAACUAGCCUUUUUGUACAAGCCACAAUGUGUUGUAUUUUUGUUAUCAGUUUUUGCAUAUGCACAUAAUAUAGCAUUACUUACAUGUAUGAAUUAUUUCAAUUGGUGAAUAGAGAUAAAUGCAGUGAGUUUGGGCGUAAAAUGUUGAAGCCGUAAGGUGAUAUCCUCUCGUCAUCAGUCAUGCGCCGAACAACAACAGAGAAUUGGAGGCUCUGGAAGUGGUCGCGCGAAAGCUGAACACCAGAUGGGUAAGUACUCUUGAGCAAAACCAAGCUACAAUGCUAGCGUUUGACCUGCAAGCUUGUGUGCGUGCUAGCCCACAAAGUGUUUCUUUCUCGUUGUAUCAUCUGAGCUAAAAUCCAACGAGCCCUUUCGUCUUGGCAGUACAAAAAAAAAUUCAGAAUAUGUGUUCUGUUCUAGAACACACUAAAGCAGAAGGCAGUACAUGAGGCAAAUGCUGUAUGUUUUGCGCUCAGCUAACAUUAAAAUUUAGCCUCCAUAGAAGCUGGAGACCCUAUUAAUUGUUCCAAG
This 16853-nucleotide long non-coding RNA is filed under the name Triticum aestivum (bread wheat). Its description in RNAcentral is "long non-coding RNA (TAES_LNC018246)". Lineage: Eukaryota; Viridiplantae; Streptophyta; Magnoliopsida; Poales; Poaceae. The record is from RNAcentral.